Molecule: small nuclear RNA, 156 nt
Organism: Zygosaccharomyces rouxii
Lineage: Eukaryota; Fungi; Ascomycota; Saccharomycetes; Saccharomycetales; Saccharomycetaceae
Source: RefSeq, a predicted model, not a curated record
AACCAAGCUCAGAGAUGGAGAUCAGCGUCAAGAAGGGCUCUUCGGAACCCAACUUAUAACGAAUAUGGUUCUUGCCUUUUACCAGAACCAUCCGGGCGUUGUCUCACACAGGUAAUGCUGCAUCUCUGGCUUCAUUAUAUUUUUUGGAACCUUUCU